RNAcentral lists this ribosomal RNA (770 nucleotides) under Zacladus geranii. RNAcentral's name for it is "eukaryotic LSU rRNA". It matches the Rfam family "Eukaryotic large subunit ribosomal RNA", at positions 407 to 944 of the family's 3401-position model. Lineage: Eukaryota; Metazoa; Arthropoda; Insecta; Coleoptera; Curculionidae. The record is from RNAcentral.
GUUUAGGGGUAAACCUGAGAAACCCGAAAGGUCGAAGGGAGAAAUUCAUUCGCGUUUCGUUGCAGGCGUCGCGCGGUCGCGUGACGGGAAGCGUUCGCGCUUUCCGCGCCCUCCGUGCGUUCGAACCGGCGACGAACGCGUGCACUUUUCUCCUGGUAGGACGUCGCGAUCCGUUGGGUGUCGGUCUACGGCUCGCGGUGGAGCCCGUUCGUACCACGUGUGCGAGCGGACCCGCGUGUCCCGGCUGACUCGCUCGACGGUAUACGGAAAGGUUGAAGGCCGCUCUCGGAGCGUUCGACUCGUGGCAAGCGCUCCAGAUGCGUCGGCGAUCGGACCUAGUGCCGAUUCUGACCUCUGGUGACUGUUGGCUACGAAUGUCUCGAACAGACCUAUCAGACCGAUCUGCGACGCUAUAGCUUUGGGUACUUUCAGGACCCGUCUUGAAACACGGACCAAGGAGUCUAGCAUGUGCGCGAGUCAUUGGGAAUCACUAAACCUAAAGGCGCAAUGAAAGUAAAGGUCUUCCUCGCGGAGACUGAGGGAGGACGGGCGGUUUACCCUUAAAAGUGGCCGCUCCGCACUCCCGGGGCGUCUCGUUCUCAUUGCGAGAAGAGGCGCACCAUGAGCGUACACGCUGGGACCCGAAAGAUGGUGAACUAUGCCUGGUCAGGACGAAGUCAGGGGAAACCCUGAUGGAGGUCCGUAGCGAUUCUGACGUGCAAAUCGAUCGUCGGAACUGGGUAUAGGGGCGAAAGACUAAUCGAACCAUC